GCCACAAGUGUAAGUACAGUAAUGUAUUGAGCUGAGUGGUACUAAUUAGCCGAAUGGCUUUAUCAA
RNAcentral lists this ribosomal RNA (66 nucleotides) under Fidelibacterota bacterium. RNAcentral describes it as "partial 23S ribosomal RNA". The record is from RNAcentral. Lineage: Bacteria; Pseudomonadati; Fidelibacterota.